This 446-nucleotide ribosomal RNA is filed under the name uncultured Chloroflexota bacterium. RNAcentral describes it as "bacterial SSU rRNA". It matches the Rfam family "Bacterial small subunit ribosomal RNA", at positions 921 to 1382 of the family's 1533-position model. The record is from RNAcentral. Lineage: Bacteria; Bacillati; Chloroflexota.
CCGCACAAGCGGUGGAGCAUGUGGUUAAUUCGAAGCAACGCGAGAAUCUUACCAGGUCUUGACAUCCCUUGACAACCCAAGAGAUUGGGCGUCCCCUUCGGGGGACAGGGUGACAGGUGGUGCAUGGUUGUCGUCAGCUCGUGCCGUGAGGUGUUGGGUUAAGUCCCGCAACGAGCGCAACCCUCGUGCUAUGUUGAUUUCUCAUAGCAGACUGCCUUGUACAGCAAGGAGGAAGGUGGGGAUGACGUCAAGUCAGCAUGGCCUUUAUGCCCUGGGCUACACACACGCUACAAUGGGUGGGAACAGAGGGUUGCCACGAAGCAAUUCGGAGCGAAUCCCUUAAAACCAUCCUCAGUUCGGAUUGCAGGCUGCAAUCGCCUGCAUGAAGCCGGAGCUGCUAGUAACCGCAGGUCAGCUAUACUGCGGUGAAUACGUUCUCGGGCCUU